RNAcentral lists this ribosomal RNA (550 nucleotides) under Gracixalus ananjevae (Ananjeva Asian treefrog). RNAcentral describes it as "Kurixalus ananjevae (Ananjeva Asian treefrog) partial 16S ribosomal RNA". It matches the Rfam family "Bacterial large subunit ribosomal RNA", at positions 1817 to 2597 of the family's 2925-position model. The record is from RNAcentral. Lineage: Eukaryota; Metazoa; Chordata; Amphibia; Anura; Rhacophoridae.
CGCCUCUUGCCUAACAUAAGAGGUCCAGCCUGCCCGGUGACAAAGUUUAACGGCCGCGAUAACCUAACCGCGCGAAGGUAGCAUAAUCACUUGUUCUUUAAAUAGGGACUAGUAUCAACGGCAUCACGAGGGUUAUACUGUCUCCUCCCUCCAAUCAGUGAAACUGAUCUCCCCGUGAAAAAGCGGGGAUAAAGAUAUAAGACGAGAAGACCCCAUGGAGCUUUAAACCAACAGCAACUCAGUACUAUAGUUCCUCAUAGCCCCCAGAGAAAUGCACGUCGGUUUUAGGUUGGGAUGACCGCGGAGUAAAAAUAAUCCUCCACGACGAAAAGAACUAAAUCUUUAUCUAAGAAUUACUAUUCCAAGAAUUAGCAUACUAACGAAUAAUGACCCAAUAAUUGAUCAACGAAACAAGUUACCCUGGGGAUAACAGCGCAAUCUACUUUAAGAGCCCAUAUCGACAAGUAGGCUUACGACCUCGAUGUUGGAUCAGGGUAUCCCAGUGGUGCAGCCGCUACUAAGGGUUCGUUUGUUCAACGAUUAAAACCCU